AGUGAACGCUGGCGGUAGGCCUAACACAUGCAAGUCGAACGGCAGCACAUUAAGAGCUUGCUCUUACGGGUGGCGAGUGGCGGACGGGUGAGGAAUACAUCGGAAUCUACUUUUUCGUGGGGGAUAACGUAGGGAAACUUACGCUAAUACCUCAUACGACCUACGGGUGAAAGCAGGGGAUCUUCGGACCUUGCGCGAUUGAAUGAGCCGAUGUCGGAUUAGCUAGUUGGCGGGGUAAAGGCCCACCAAGGCGACGAUCCGUAGCUGGUCUGAGAGGAUGAUCAGCCACACUGGAACUGAGACACGGUCCAGACUCCUACGGGAGGCAGCAGUGGGGAAUAUUGGACAAUGGGCGCAAGCCUGAUCCAGCCAUACCGCGUGGGUGAAGAAGGCCUUCGGGUUGUAAAGCCCUUUUGUUGGGAAAGAAAAGCAGCAGGUUAAUACCCCGCUGUUCUGACGGUACCCAAAGAAUAAGCACCGGCUAACUUCGUG
RNAcentral lists this ribosomal RNA (492 nucleotides) under uncultured bacterium. RNAcentral describes it as "partial 16S ribosomal RNA". It matches the Rfam family "Bacterial small subunit ribosomal RNA", at positions 29 to 507 of the family's 1533-position model. The record is from RNAcentral.